Molecule: ribosomal RNA, 242 nt
Filed under: uncultured bacterium
Lineage: Bacteria
Description: partial 16S ribosomal RNA
Rfam family: Bacterial small subunit ribosomal RNA
Source: RNAcentral
GCUUGCUAUGGUAUAACUUAGUGGCAGACGGGUGAGUAAUGUAUAGGAAUCUACCUAGUAGUACGGAAUAAUUGUUGGAAACGGCAACUAAUACCGUAUACGCCCUACGGGGGAAAAAUUUAUUGCUAUUAGAUGAGCCUAUAUUAGAUUAGUUAGUUGGUGAGGUAAAGGCUUACCAAGACAAUGAUCUAUAGCUGAUCUGAGAGGAUGAUCAGCCACACUGGAACUGAGAUACGGUCCAG